Molecule: long non-coding RNA, 269 nt
Filed under: Carica papaya (papaya)
Lineage: Eukaryota; Viridiplantae; Streptophyta; Magnoliopsida; Brassicales; Caricaceae
Description: long non-coding RNA (CPAP_LNC014511)
Source: RNAcentral
AGACGAACCAGACGCCGGAGGAGCCGGCCGCCGCCGCCCGCCGCCACACUGGGGAGUUUUCUGACCGCCGAUCGAGGUAAAUUUCAUAUCCCCGACUCGUUUUUCAAUGCUGAGUUCCCCUGUGGCCAAAUCGGAGCCAAAAUCCCGGCCAAAUGGUUGGAAAACAUGGCCGAAACCCAGCGGCGCCGCCGCGUCCCUCCUCGGUUUUUGCCUCCGAUGAGGCCCUUCCCGGCCUCCGUUUGAUACAAUUUUUAUAUCACCGUGAUCAC